This 484-nucleotide ribosomal RNA is filed under the name uncultured bacterium. Its description in RNAcentral is "partial 16S ribosomal RNA". It matches the Rfam family "Bacterial small subunit ribosomal RNA", at positions 28 to 523 of the family's 1533-position model. The record is from RNAcentral.
GACGAACGCUGGCGGCGUGCUUAACACAUGCAAGUAGAACGAUGAAGCUGGAGCUUGCUCUGGCGGAUUAGUGGCGAACGGGUGAGUAACACGUGAGAAAUCUGCCCUUGACUCUGGGAUAACUGCGUGAAACUGUAGCUAAUACCGGAUGCUUUCCCUGGUGGGCAUCCACUGGGGAAGAAAGAAUUUCGGUCAAGGAUGAUCUCGCGGCCUAUCAGCUUGUUGGUGAGGUCAUGGCUCACCAAGGCGACGACGGGUAGCCGGCCUGAGAGGGUGACCGGCCACACUGGGACUGAGACACGGCCCAGACUCCUACGGGAGGCAGCAGUGGGGAAUAUUACACAAUGGGCGCAAGCCUGAUGCAGCGACGCCGCGUGAGGGAUGACGACCAUCGGGUUGUAAACCUCUUUAAGAAAAGACGAAGCGCAAGUGACGGUAUGUGCAGAAGAAGGACCGGCCAACUACGUGCCAGCCGCCGCAGUAA